AUGGACGAACCGGCCUUCCGGAGGUGCAGUGGCCUCGGCGGUGUCCGGUGCUACCUGCUCCCCCCGGCGGCCGCGAUCAACAGCACGAGCCUCUCCUCGGAGCAGCUCUACAUCUCCGGCGGCUUCAUACGCAUGAUGUGGCUGCGCAUUCGCCUACUCGGCGACGUCCUCAAGCACGGCUAUAGCUUCAUAUUCACGGAUAUGGAUGUGGUGUGGCUGAGGAACCCGUUCCCGAGCCUGAAUCGCACCGAGGAGGAAGACCUCCUGAUCAGCACCGACGGGUUCAAGGGGCGGCCGGAGGACUACCUCGGCCACGAGCUCAACACCGGAUUCUUCUUCAUGGCGGCCAGCAACCGGACGGCGGCGAUGUUCGACGAGUGGCACGCGGCACGGGAGGCGUCGGAUGGCAUGAAGGAGUAG
RNAcentral lists this ribosomal RNA (420 nucleotides) under Triticum aestivum (bread wheat). RNAcentral describes it as "partial small subunit ribosomal RNA". Lineage: Eukaryota; Viridiplantae; Streptophyta; Magnoliopsida; Poales; Poaceae. The record is from RNAcentral.